CACAAACACGGAAACGAUGCAAAUAUACUAUUUGCGUCGCAUGUAACAAUGAAUCGACGCAUAAGACGAACUAUGUGCGUCGUAUCUAAAUAUUGUGCGAUGCAAAUCAUCUAUGUGCGUCGCAUGAAGGUCAUGGUGCGACGCACAAAACAAAGUAAUCUGCGUCGGACCCCUUAGCCCAUCCGACGCAGAUCAGCCCAAAAGCCCAAUUUAUUUCUAACCCCAUAACCAGCGCCCCUCUUAACAUUACUCAAAACCCUAAAGCUUCUCAAAACCAACCCGCCUCCCUUUCGUCCCUCUCAACCCGCCUCCCUCUCUUUCUCUCUCCCUUUCGUCCCUCUCAACCCGCCUCCCUCUCUUUCUCUCUCACUUUCGUCCCUCUCUUUGUCUCUCACUUUCGUCCGACGAUCUGCUUCAGUUCCCAUCAACCGACGAUCGAAACUUCGACGCCAUGACCUUCAGUGAGCGAUCUUCAGCGUCGACGACACCAAUAACAGCAACAACACUUCGAACAACUAACGAAUCUUCAGCGGACGAACGAAUCUUCAGAAUUCAGAUCUUGUUUGAAGACCUCGUUUUUUCAUUUCCGUGAAUUUUUCGAAGAACUCAUUUUUUCAUCCUAAAAUCUCCAGAUGUGUUCGAAGUAUAACAACGAGAAGGAAGAUCAAGAUGUGAAGGAAGCUCCAACAUUUUUUUUACUAUUAUUGAUAGAUUUGUUUUUAUGAAUUAUUGUAAUAUAUAUGUUCUAAAAUUCGAAGCAUUUUCGUUUUUAUUUUUCCAGAUCUGGUCGAAUUUUUGUACAGUAUUGUUAUUAGUUUUAUUUGAUUUUCAAUCCUCUAUCUCUUA
Beta vulgaris subsp. vulgaris (sugar beet) is the source of this 846-nucleotide long non-coding RNA. RefSeq lists it as uncharacterized. The transcript has 3 exons. The record is from RefSeq and is a predicted model, not a curated record. NCBI's taxonomy places the organism in Eukaryota, Viridiplantae, Streptophyta, Magnoliopsida, Caryophyllales, Amaranthaceae.